RNAcentral lists this transfer RNA (85 nucleotides) under Plectolyngbya sp. WJT66-NPBG17. Its description in RNAcentral is "tRNA-Ser". The record is from RNAcentral. RNAcentral also lists the same sequence under 1 other name. Lineage: Bacteria; Bacillati; Cyanobacteriota; Cyanophyceae; Leptolyngbyales; Leptolyngbyaceae.
GGAGGUUGUCCGGCACGGACGAGGAAAGCGUCUUGAAAACGCUUGCGGUUAAAACCCGUCAAGAGUUCGAUUCUCUUAGCCUCCG